Molecule: non-coding RNA, 1858 nt
Organism: Taeniopygia guttata (zebra finch)
Lineage: Eukaryota; Metazoa; Chordata; Aves; Passeriformes; Estrildidae
Source: RefSeq, a predicted model, not a curated record
UGCUGAAUGCAGUCUCCGCUCUGUGCUGCUUUCCGGCCUCGCUUCUGAGCUUUAUCUUCCAGGCUUUUGCUAACCUCCGACGAAUUUCGCGUUAUCCUCGGGUUUCUCGACUGUUGUUAUUAUUGAUGUACCAGGGUUUUUUUGACAAUAGAGUCUGUAUGUUUUUUAUAGCUCUGCACACCAAUCUUGCAUUUUAUAUUGGGUACUGCAGUGAGCAGUUGUUAUCUGUAGAUGCUGUUGUCUGUUCAGCAAGUUACAACAGUUUUUUCUGCAGUUUCUAGUGGCCAGAGUGGUUAAGAUGCAUGACUAAAAACUGUUCCAAGCUAUAGAUGAAGAUCAAUAAUGUUUUCAGUGUUUUUUUUCUUUUACUUUUGAUUUGUUUUGUUUUAGAUUAGCAAAAUCUGCUUUAUCAUUUUGAGGGUAGAAAGGGAACUGAUUGCAAUAAAAGCAGAACAAGAUUUAUAGCAUGUUCUUAUAAAUAAAGGCACACUGCUCUGCCAAAUUAUGUAAAAUGUGGCAUUCACAUUGUUCUGUUCCUCUCAUGAUCUAUGGUGCCAUAUGGACUUAAAAAAAUAGGACUAUUGUAUGGAUUUCUGCAGCAUAAUUGGCAUUGACACUUGUAUUGAUUGAAUAAAUGAAAUAACAUGCACAGUUCUGACAAUCUUUUCAGGUUUCUAAGAUUACAGUCGUGAUGAUUCUAUGUCAGCAAAAAAGUCUUUAGGAAUUUAAAAUGAAGCCACAGACAGUUCAUUAAUAUACAUAUGUUUGAAAUUGCAGCCCUAACAAUUGAGUUCUCUGCUCUGAAUGCUAUAAUAUAUAUUGUCGUGAGCUAUAUGCCCUCAGAUCAUUUCAGUGAAUUACAAGAAAAUUAUGGAGUGGAGAACAUUUUAUUAUUGUGCUUUUCAUCCAGGGACACAGCUUUUCACUGAUGAAAAUUGAAAACACUGAAAAUUAAAAUGUAAAUGCAUUUAUCAAAAGAAGAGGAAAAAAUUGAAUCCUAAACUUUAACUGCUUUUGCAUUUUACUUCUUCAAAAGGCAAUUUUGAUAUUUACAUCUCAAAAGCACAAGUAGUCAGACUCAGUAAUAUCUAUUUGGAUUCUUAUUAAUAAGUGACUGGCUGUUUGUUGCUGGAGGUCUGAAGAUUUGUUUUAGUAAAACAGAAUGGAAAGCUGUGUGGGUGUUUAUUUGUGUAUGUGUACAUUCUGAGAGAUAAACAAAAUAAUUAUGCAUUUAUUUAGCAUUUUUCUCCUUUCUGUUUAACACAUCCUUUUUGUGUUUUUUACAGGUCAGUGCCACCUUACAAAGAAUGUGAGUUACUUAUGUCUUUGUACAGAAGAAAGAAAAGACAGAAAGCGAUGAAGACUAGAAGCUCUUCACAUGAAAUUUAGCACUUAAGAGACAGGACAAAUGCAUAAUUUAAGAUUUAUUUAAGCUGGAUUUUUUUCCUUUUAGUUUCAAAAAAAAGUUUGGUGUUUUUUUUUUUUUUUUUUUGGUUGGCAUCCUGACUUAACUGUGGAUAUGUUAACAGCCCCUAAGAAGAAGCUCAUUUAUCCAUAUGCUGAAGAAGACUGUGGGCUUAGUUUCCUGCAGAGGAAGACUGCUGGAUGAAGCAUGGAAGCAGGCAGGCUGUGCAGCAAACUGAGACAUCCUGUGCCUCUGGUGCUGCCACGCAAUUUCAUCUCUUCAUUAAUGGCCCAUGAAAAGUGAAGACCAAGAUAUUUGGACCAAAGAGCUGCCAGAGACUAAACCAACCAUUACCCCUUGAAAGAUUGCAUCAUUGAUGCUUUAAAUUAAAACUUUAUUGCCAUUGUAAAAUGUCUGUGAGUUACCCAGAGAAAAUAAAAUAUAUGGUUUUCA